UGCAUGUGAAAGUAUAAAGUCCAAGAAGGAUGAAACUGCGAACGGCUCAUUAGAACAGUUAUAGUUUCUUCGAUUAGUAAGUACAAGGAUAGCUUUGUGAAUGAUAAAGAUAAUACUUGAGACGAUCUUGGAUGUAGAGACACAUUCAGGCCUAUGCAUCAUAAAAUGGUGUGAAGAGAAAGGAUAUCCAAACUGAAAGUGGGUAUCAUGACAAUUGUAGAAUAGCGAUAUUUAACAAGUAAUCGAUGAGAAUAUCUGAUCUAUCAACUAGUUGGUAGUAUCGAGGACUACCAAGGUUAUAACGGAUAACGAGGAAUUAGGGUUUGACAUCGGAGAGGGAGCUUUCAAGAUGGCUACCACUUCCAAGGAAGGCAGCAGCCGCGUAAAUUACCCAAUUUCAACAGAUAGAAGAGGUAGUGACGACAAAUAACUCACGACAUGCGUAAGCAUGUCUUGAAGGAAUGAGUAAGAAGCAAAGAGUCUUACGAAAUCAAUUGGAGGGCAAGUCUGGUGCCAGCAGCCGCGGUAAUUCCAGCUCC
This 539-nucleotide ribosomal RNA is filed under the name Entamoeba sp. RNAcentral's name for it is "bacterial SSU rRNA". It matches the Rfam family "Eukaryotic small subunit ribosomal RNA", at positions 52 to 592 of the family's 1831-position model. Lineage: Eukaryota; Evosea; Mastigamoebida; Endamoebidae. The record is from RNAcentral.